Cinara cedri is the source of this 109-nucleotide non-coding RNA. The record is from the annotation of a GenBank genome assembly. NCBI's taxonomy places the organism in Eukaryota, Metazoa, Arthropoda, Insecta, Hemiptera, Aphididae.
AUAUACCGACGACGACGACGACGACGACGACGACGGUCGCACAUUCUGACAAACGGUCCAUCGUGCUCCGGAUAAUAUAUUGUCGUCGUCGUCGUCGUCGUCCUCUACG